RNAcentral lists this ribosomal RNA (687 nucleotides) under Stenotrophomonas sp. GA80-2. RNAcentral describes it as "bacterial SSU rRNA". It matches the Rfam family "Bacterial small subunit ribosomal RNA", at positions 74 to 752 of the family's 1533-position model. The record is from RNAcentral. Lineage: Bacteria; Pseudomonadati; Pseudomonadota; Gammaproteobacteria; Lysobacterales; Lysobacteraceae.
GAGAGCUUGCUCUCUGGGUGGCGAGUGGCGGACGGGUGAGGAAUACAUCGGAAUCUACUUUUUCGUGGGGGAUAACGUAGGGAAACUUACGCUAAUACCGCAUACGACCUACGGGUGAAAGCAGGGGAUCUUCGGACCUUGCGCGAUUGAAUGAGCCGAUGUCGGAUUAGCUAGUUGGCGGGGUAAAGGCCCACCAAGGCGACGAUCCGUAGCUGGUCUGAGAGGAUGAUCAGCCACACUGGAACUGAGACACGGUCCAGACUCCUACGGGAGGCAGCAGUGGGGAAUAUUGGACAAUGGGCGCAAGCCUGAUCCAGCCAUACCGCGUGGGUGAAGAAGGCCUUCGGGUUGUAAAGCCCUUUUGUUGGGAAAGAAAUCCAGCUGGUUAAUACCCGGUUGGGAUGACGGUACCCAAAGAAUAAGCACCGGCUAACUUCGUGCCAGCAGCCGCGGUAAUACGAAGGGUGCAAGCGUUACUCGGAAUUACUGGGCGUAAAGCGUGCGUAGGUGGUCGUUUAAAGUCCGUUGUGAAAGCCCCUGGGCUCAACCUGGGAACUGCAGUGGAUACUGGGCGACUAGAAUGUGGUAGAGGGUAGCGGAAUUCCUGGUGUAGCAGUGAAAUGCGUAGAGAUCAGGAGGAACAUCCAUGGCGAAGGCAGCUACCUGGACCAACAUUGACACUGAGGC